CUUUCAUUUCAGUUGCAGCACGGCGUUUGCGUGCGUUCGUCUGUGUGUGUGCGCGCUUUUCCCUCGCGGUCGGCAACUUUUUAGCUCUUCUUGGUUCCUCCGCCUCUUUUUUCUCCCGUGUGCUGUUGUUGUGCUCUGGCAGGGCCAUCCAUUCUUUCUAGAUACAAACCAAACAAGAAGACUGUGUGUCUCUCUCUCUCCCUAUGCACUAACCGAAGGGCACUCUCACUCCGCUCCGAUCCGCUAUACAUAGGGAGGGAUAAGAGCGUGCCGAUGCCCGGCUGGCAGUCAGUGUGACACGGGGGCUGGCAACUCCCCAGAAUCUUCGUACACCCUGGUCCGCCAUGGCCAGAAUCUCCCUAUCUCUCCUCUCAUAGAAUCUUUCGGAAUCUCUAGAAUCUCUCUAGAAUCCCGAAUCUUCGUACACCCAAGUUGUGAGUUGCCAACCCCCGGUGUGACACCGGCUCGUGUCGUGUCAAGAGUUGCUUCUCUUCCUUUCGUCUGUGUUUUUUUUUUUUUUCCCCAUUUUAGAGAUUUGGUUUUUCUGGUAGCCCUCUAGCUGCUGUGUGAACAGAUCCCCCGUCUUAAGUAGUCUAAUACUCUUCGCUGUGGUGUGACUUUCGUACAUUCUUUUCUCGCCGGUUUUUCUCCUUUUUUAUCUUUCAUCUUGUUUUCGGUUUUUCCAUCGUCGUCGUCGUCGUGGAUAUCGAUCGCCUCUAAAAGCCUUCCGUGCCGCUUCAGUGUCGAGGCGAAAGGCCGCCAUCGAGAGACUCUACACCUGGAGUGACUUUUGUCGGACUUUUUAUCAACGGGAUUCAUGGGUUCAGCCAUACAUGGGAGGGUAUCAAGAACCGACCCCAGAACUUUUCCAAUUGAAUCUCAAUCUAGUAGUGAUGAAGACUGGGGUGAACCUUCCGAUUCUUCUGGGUCGAAAAAUUCGCGUUCAAGAAAAGAAGCAAAAAAAAAACGCGGACCGAGUGUUUAGACCAGCGUAAUGGGGGUAAACAGUGUAUUACCUUAAGUCGAGUCGGGAGGGGACGAGAGCACAACGUGAUGAAUAGGCUAGCUAGCCAAGACUGACUCCCUUGCUCCUCUCAGCGUCGUCUGCUAGACUCGUCGUUUGCGGAGUCAAUACACCGAGAAAACUACAAACAAAUCACGGUCUCGUAAAGCAGUCAAACCGAUCGACAUGGAUGAUGACAAAAUGAAUGGAAGACGAGAUUUAUACGGCCCCAAUGAAAACUGUUUUGUUAUUGAUGCAAGGAACAUUGGUAACAUAGGAAGAUAUUUCAACGUAAGGAAAGACUAACAAUUUCAUAGGCCCUAUAGGGCUGUUCGACAUGUUUUUUACACACUCAUUUCAUUGGGUGCUACUUACCUGGUAGCAUUCCCUUAAGUAGCACUAAGUAAGAUCCAGAAGACAUUCUCCAACUUCGAGACGAAGACGACGAAGAUGAAGAACACGCGUUGAUAGAUCUAUUAUAUCCCGUAGAUCCAAGUGACAGCAAUGAAGAGUGGAUAGAUCAUCAAGAUUAUAUUGAAGAGAGUAACGAAGAAGCUUGCGAAGAAGAGUCAAGAUGUAUGGAAGCGUUUGAAGAUGAUUGCUGCGACGCAAUUGCGGACCACUUAGAGUUUCUAAACAUGUAGUUUGAGUUGUGUAAUGGUUAAGUGAUGGUAUACGAUGCAUAUCUUAGCCCGUCAUUAUUCCCGUAAAUGUUUUCAAUUGGCUUCAUGCAUAUUGUCUUAAAACAAAAUAAUUUUAAAAAUUAAAAUGCUAAUUGAAAAAAAUCAAUGAUUUUUACCAAA
This is a long non-coding RNA of Daphnia pulicaria, 1806 nucleotides long. RefSeq lists it as uncharacterized. The transcript is spliced from 3 exons. The record is from RefSeq and is a predicted model, not a curated record. Lineage: Eukaryota; Metazoa; Arthropoda; Branchiopoda; Diplostraca; Daphniidae.